AGUUAACCGAUGGCAGGGGAGGAUCCACCACUUGGACCCCAACGGUUGACCUUUGUUCCGGUUGCAGUGGCCAAGGUUCGUGUAACUUCGACCAACUCCGUGACGGCCAAAAUGUCGACAGCUCCAUCCGUUUGGUUAACUGCAAUUGUUCAGUGGGCUACACAGGCGUGGACUGCGAGUCAGAAAUUGACGGCUGCGCAGACAACCCAUGCCCUCCAACCGGAAAUUGCACUGACCUGACCCCUAGCGAGGAGGAGACGCAGGGAGUGUCUUUUAGAUGCCUCUGUCCAUCCGGGUAUUUCAUACUCGGGUUGAAAUGCAUAGACAUUGACGAGUGUUCUAACGCGACACUGAACACGUGUAACACGUCCAUUUCAACGUGCGUUAACAU
Long non-coding RNA from Lingula anatina, 391 nucleotides. The record is from RefSeq and is a predicted model, not a curated record. Lineage: Eukaryota; Metazoa; Brachiopoda; Lingulata; Lingulida; Lingulidae.